UGCAAGAGAAUAGUGCAAAAGGCUGGUC
RNAcentral lists this non-coding RNA (28 nucleotides) under Homo sapiens (human). Lineage: Eukaryota; Metazoa; Chordata; Mammalia; Primates; Hominidae. The record is from RNAcentral.